UGGGGAAUUUUGGACAAUGGGCGCAAGCCUGAUCCAGCCAUGCCGCGUGCGGGAAGAAGGCCUUCGGGUUGUAAACCGCUUUUGUCAGGGAAGAAAUCUUCUGAGUUAAUACCUCGGGAGGAUGACGGUACCUGAAGAAUAAGCACCGGCUAACUACGUGCCAGCAGCCGCGGUAAUACGUAGGGUGCAAGCGUUAAUCGGAAUUACUGGGCGUAAAGCGUGCGCAGGCGGUUUUGUAAGACAGAGGUGAAAUCCCCGGGCUCAACCUGGGAACUGCCUUUGUGACUGCAAGGCUUGAGUGCGGCAGAGGGGGAUGGAAUUCCGCGUGUAGCAGUGAAAUGCGUAGAUAUGCGGAGGAACACCGAUGGCGAAGGCAAUCCCCUGGGCCCGCACUGACGCUCAUGCACGAAAACGUGGGGAGCAAACAGGAUUAGAUACCCUGGGUAGUCCCACGCCCUAAAACGAUGUCAAACUGGUUGUUGGGAAGGUUCCUUCUCAGUAACGUAGCUAACGCGUGAAAGUUGACCGCCUGGGGAGUACGGCCGC
Molecule: ribosomal RNA, 546 nt
Filed under: uncultured bacterium
Lineage: Bacteria
Description: partial 16S ribosomal RNA
Rfam family: Bacterial small subunit ribosomal RNA
Source: RNAcentral